Long non-coding RNA from Papaver somniferum (opium poppy), 316 nucleotides. RefSeq lists it as uncharacterized. The transcript is spliced from 3 exons. The record is from RefSeq and is a predicted model, not a curated record. NCBI's taxonomy places the organism in Eukaryota, Viridiplantae, Streptophyta, Magnoliopsida, Ranunculales, Papaveraceae.
AGAGAUUGAAGAGGAGCAGAGGAGGACUGUUGAAGAGUUGUUGAACUAGACAGUAAUUCAUCAAAGAAAAUAGCUAUGCAUUCUUACCGUGGGAUUGAUUGGGUUGGAUAUGAUAAUCCUACAACUAGUGAUGUGAAGGUUAAUUAUGCUCGAGAUAAUAGCAUGGGUGGUAUUUCUUCUUGGCGAUUGGCCAAGACAAGAAUUGGGAACUCAGUGCUCAAGAUAUCUGCAGGCUAUUAUUAUCUCGUGAUGUGGCUGUUUUUAUGGACGUACUACCAUGGUUGUAAUAUCGUUGUGAGGCGACCAUGCAUCUCAG